CUGCGCGUCCACAUCCUCAUCACCACCCCGCCCUACCGCGCCGACGACACCGCCUCAUACAUCACCUCCGUUUCCGCCACCAUCCCUUCCCUCAUCUUCCACCACCUCCCCACCAUCUCUCUCCCUCCCUCCCUCGCCUCCUCCCCCAACCACGAAACCCUAACCUUCGAAGUCCUACGCCUCAACAACCCUAACGUCCACCAAGCCCUCCUCUCCAUCUCCCAGAACUUCUCCAUCAAAGCUUUUGUCAUGGACUUCUUCUGCGCUCUCGGGCUCUCCGUUGCCACCGAGCUGAGCAUCCCCAGCUACUUCUUCUACACGUCCGGCGCCGCCACCCUCGCCGGCUUCCUUUGCUUCCCCACCAUUCACAACAAUACCGACAAAAGCCUCAAAGACCUAAAUACCCUUAUCAACAUUCCAGGAGUCCCGCCGAUUCCUUCCUCCGAUAUGGCGAAACCGAUUCUUGAACGAAACGACAAGGCGUACGAACAUUUCCUAGAAAGCUCAAAGCAGUUCCCCAAAUCCGCUGGGGUUAUCGUAAACACGUUCGAAUCUCUCGAACCUAGAGCUCUCAAAGCAAUAUCGGACGGUCUGUGCUUG
Molecule: long non-coding RNA, 600 nt
Filed under: Malus domestica (apple)
Lineage: Eukaryota; Viridiplantae; Streptophyta; Magnoliopsida; Rosales; Rosaceae
Description: long non-coding RNA (MDOM_LNC001210)
Source: RNAcentral